RNAcentral lists this ribosomal RNA (496 nucleotides) under uncultured bacterium. RNAcentral's name for it is "partial 16S ribosomal RNA". It matches the Rfam family "Bacterial small subunit ribosomal RNA", at positions 29 to 507 of the family's 1533-position model. The record is from RNAcentral.
AUGCACGCUGGCGGCGUGCCUAAUACAUGCAAGUCGAGCGAACAGACGAGGAGGUUGCUCCUCUGACGUUAGCGGCGGACGGGUGAGUAACACGUGGAUAACCUACCUAUAAGACUGGGAUAACUUCGGGAAACCGGAGCUAAUACCGGAUAAUAUAUUGAACCGCAUGGUUCAAUAGUGAAAGACGGUUUUGCUGUCACUUAUAGAUGGAUCCGCGCCGCAUUAGCUAGUUGGUAAGGUAACGGCUUACCAAGGCAACGAUGCGUAGCCGACCUGAGAGGGUGAUCGGCCACACUGGAACUGAGACACGGUCCAGACUCCUACGGGAGGCAGCAGUAGGGAAUCUUCCGCAAUGGGCGAAAGCCUGACGGAGCAACGCCGCGUGAGUGAUGAAGGUCUUCGGAUCGUAAAACUCUGUUAUUAGGGAAGAACAAAUGUGUAAGUAACUAUGCACGUCUUGACGGUACCUAAUCAGAAAGCCACGGCUAACUACGUG